GAACGGGUGAGUAACCGUGGGUGAUCUGCCCUGCACUUUGGGAUAAGCCUGGGAAACUGGGUCUAAUACCGAAUAUGACCAUGCGCCUCCUGGUGUGUGGUGGAAAGCUUUUGCGGUGUGGGAUGGGCCCGNNNNNUAUCAGCUUGUUGGUGGGGUAAUGGCCUACCAAGGCGACGACGGGUAGCCGGCCUGAGAGGGUGACCGGCCACACUGGGACUGAGAUACGGCCCAGACUCCUACGGGAGGCAGCAGUGGGGAAUAUUGCACAAUGGGCGCAAGCCUGAUGCAGCGACGCCGCGUGAGGGAUGACGGCCUUCGGGUUGUAAACCUCUUUCAGCACAGACGAAGCGCAAGUGACGGUAUGUGCAGAAGAAGGACCGGCCAACUACGUGCCAGCAGCCGCGGUAAUACGUAGGGUCCGAGCGUUGUCCGGAAUUACUGGGCGUAAAGAGCUCGUAGGUGGUUUGUCGCGUUGUUCGUGAAAACUCACAGCUUAACUGUGGGCGUGCGGGCGAUACGGGCAGACUUGAGUACUGCAGGGGAGACUGGAAUUCCUGGUGUAGCGGUGGAAUGCGCAGAUAUCAGGAGGAACACCGGUGGCGAAGGCGGGUCUCUGGGCAGUAACUGACGCUGAGGAGCGAAAGCGUGGGGAGCGAACAGGAUUAGAUACCCUGGUAGUCCACGCCGUAAACGGUGGGUACUAGGUGUGGGUUUCCUUCCUUGGGAUCCGUGCCGUAGCUAACGCAUUAAGUACCCCGCCUGGGGAGUACGGCCGCAAGGCUAAAACUCAAAGAAAUUGACGGG
Molecule: ribosomal RNA, 804 nt
Filed under: uncultured bacterium
Lineage: Bacteria
Description: bacterial SSU rRNA
Rfam family: Bacterial small subunit ribosomal RNA
Source: RNAcentral